UGUAGGCGGUUCGGUAAGUUAAAGGUGAAAUCCCGAGGCUUAACCUUGGAAUUGCUUUUAAAACUAUUAAUCUAGAGAUUGAAAGAGGAUAGAGGAAUUCCUGAUGUAGAGGUAAAAUUCGUAAAUAUUAGGAGGAACACCAGUGGCGAAGGCGUCUAUCUGGUUCAAAUCUGACGCUGAAGCGCGAAGGCGUGGGGAGCAAACAGGAUUAGAUACCCUGGUAGUCCACGCUGUAAACGAUGAGU
RNAcentral lists this ribosomal RNA (245 nucleotides) under Wolbachia sp. MTI54. RNAcentral's name for it is "partial 16S ribosomal RNA". It matches the Rfam family "Bacterial small subunit ribosomal RNA", at positions 570 to 814 of the family's 1533-position model. The record is from RNAcentral. Lineage: Bacteria; Pseudomonadati; Pseudomonadota; Alphaproteobacteria; Rickettsiales; Anaplasmataceae.